Molecule: ribosomal RNA, 426 nt
Filed under: uncultured Pseudomonadota bacterium
Lineage: Bacteria; Pseudomonadati; Pseudomonadota
Description: bacterial SSU rRNA
Rfam family: Bacterial small subunit ribosomal RNA
Source: RNAcentral
GGGGAAUAUUGCGCAAUGGGCGAAAGCCUGACGCAGCGACGCCGCGUGAGGGAUGAAGGCCUUCGGGUCGUAAACCUCUGUCAGGAGGGAAGAACCGCCAUGGUGCUAAUCAGCCAUGGUCUGACGGUACCUCCAAAGGAAGCACCGGCUAACUCCGUGCCAGCAGCCGCGGUAAUACGGAGGGUGCAAGCGUUAAUCGGAAUCACUGGGCGUAAAGCGCACGUAGGCUGUUUGGUAAGUCAGGGGUGAAAUCCCGCGGCUCAACCGCGGAACUGCCCUUGAUACUGGCGAUCUCGAGUUCGAGAGAGGUUGGUGGAACUCCGAGUGUAGAGGUGAAAUUCGUAGAUAUUCGGAAGAACACCAGUGGCGAAGGCGGCCAACUGGCUCGAUACUGACGCUGAGGUGCGAAAGCGUGGGGAGCAAACA